UACGUAGGUGGCAAGCGUUGUCCGGAUUUACUGGGCGUAAAGCGUAUGCAGGCGGGUUCUUAAGUAGGAAGUGAAAGGUUGGAGCUCAACUCUAACACGGCUCCCUAUACUGGGAAUCUUGAGUGCCGGAGAGGAAGACGGAACGACACGUGUAGCGGUGAAAUGCGUUGAGAUGUGUCGGAACACCAAUGGCGAAAGCAGUCUUCUGGACGGAUACUGACGCUGAGAUACGAAAGCCAAGGUAGCAAACAGG
RNAcentral lists this ribosomal RNA (253 nucleotides) under uncultured bacterium. Its description in RNAcentral is "partial 16S ribosomal RNA". It matches the Rfam family "Bacterial small subunit ribosomal RNA", at positions 524 to 776 of the family's 1533-position model. The record is from RNAcentral.